Callithrix jacchus (white-tufted-ear marmoset) is the source of this 275-nucleotide unclassified non-coding RNA. It matches the Rfam family "Metazoan signal recognition particle RNA". From Rfam's summary of the family: The signal recognition particle (SRP) is a universally conserved ribonucleoprotein. It is involved in the co-translational targeting of proteins to membranes. The eukaryotic SRP consists of a 300-nucleotide 7S RNA and six proteins: SRPs 72, 68, 54, 19, 14, and 9. The record is from Ensembl. Lineage: Eukaryota; Metazoa; Chordata; Mammalia; Primates; Cebidae.
ACUGGGUGCAGCGGGGCAUGCCUGCAGUCACAGCUGCUGGAGAGGCUGAGGCGGGAACAGUGCUGGAGCCCAGAAGCUCUGGGCUGUAGUGUACUGUGACCAUUAGGUGUCUACACUAAGAGAAUCGGAGGGCCACCAGGCUGCCUAAGGAGGAGUAAACCAGUCCAGGUCAGAAACUGAGCAGGUCAAAACUCCUGUGCUGAUGACUAAUGGGAUGUCACCUGUGAAUAGCUACUGUACUCCAGCCUGGGCAACAUUGCAAGACCCUGUCUCUA